This is a small nucleolar RNA of Heterocephalus glaber (naked mole-rat), 136 nucleotides long. Lineage: Eukaryota; Metazoa; Chordata; Mammalia; Rodentia; Bathyergidae. The record is from Ensembl.
GGCCUUUUGGUGCUUAUGAUGGGCUUUAUUAUCACACUGACUAUUCUAUACAGAAAGAGAAAAUGCACUAAAUCUACCCUCAAUAUACCUCAGUCCAGGCCUGAUGCCCAGCCUGUAUUAUGAAAGGGGAUAAUGG